Molecule: ribosomal RNA, 393 nt
Filed under: uncultured Alphaproteobacteria bacterium
Lineage: Bacteria; Pseudomonadati; Pseudomonadota; Alphaproteobacteria
Description: bacterial SSU rRNA
Rfam family: Bacterial small subunit ribosomal RNA
Source: RNAcentral
GAGUUUGAUCUUGGCUCAGAACGAACGCUGGCGGCAUGCCUAACACAUGCAAGUCGAACGGGAUCCGGACUUCGGUUCGGUGAGAGUGGCGGACGGGUGAGUAACGCGUGGGAACCUGCCCAUUGGUCUGGGAUAACUGCGGGAAACUGCAGCUAAUACCGGAUGUACCCGAGAGGGGAAAGAUUUAUCGCCGAUGGAGGGGCCCGCGUCAGAUUAGGUAGUUGGUGAGGUAACGGCUCACCAAGCCUACGAUCUGUAGCUGGUCUGAGAGGAUGAUCAGCCACACUGGGACUGAGACACGGCCCAGACUCCUACGGGAGGCAGCAGUGGGGAAUCUUGCGCAAUGGGCGAAAGCCUGACGCAGCAACGCCGCGUGCGGGAUGACGGCCUCGG